UUAGUCGUAGACCCACUGAUGAAUAAGGGGUGGGCAAGUUCUGGUGUCAGCCGCCGCGGUAAAACCAGCACCUCAAGUGGUCAGGAUGAUUAUUGGGCCUAAAGCAUCCGUAGCCUGUUCUGUAAGUUUUCGGUUAAAUCCAUAAGCUCAACUUAUGGGCUGCCGAAAAUACUGCAGAACUAGGGAGUGGGAGAGGUAGACGGUACUCGGUAGGAAGGGGUAAAAUCCUUUGAUCUAUUGAUGACCACCUGUGGCGAAGGCGGUCUACCAGAACACGUUCGACGGUGAGGGAUGAAAGCUGGGGGAGCAAACCGGAUUAGAUACCCGGGUAGUCCCAGCUGUAAACGAUGCAAACUCGAUGAUGCGUUGGCUUGUUGCUAGCGCAGUGUCGCAGGGAAGCCGUUAAGUUUGCCGCCUGGGAAGUACGUACGCAAGUAUGAAACUUAAAGGAAUUGGCGGGGGAGCACCACAAGGGGUGAAGCCUGCGGUUCAAUUGGAGUCAACGCCGGGAAUC
This 514-nucleotide ribosomal RNA is filed under the name uncultured marine group I thaumarchaeote. RNAcentral's name for it is "bacterial SSU rRNA". It matches the Rfam family "Archaeal small subunit ribosomal RNA", at positions 413 to 926 of the family's 1478-position model. Lineage: Archaea; Thermoproteati; Nitrososphaerota. The record is from RNAcentral.